RNAcentral lists this ribosomal RNA (89 nucleotides) under Hydrogenothermus marinus. Lineage: Bacteria; Pseudomonadati; Aquificota; Aquificia; Aquificales; Hydrogenothermaceae. The record is from RNAcentral.
CCGGUCCCAUUCCGAACCCGGCAGUUAAGCUCCCCUGCGCCUAUGAUACUGGCCGCGAGAGCGGUCGGGAAAGUUGGUCGCUGCCAGGG